This 1067-nucleotide unclassified non-coding RNA is filed under the name Leishmania donovani. RNAcentral's name for it is "gene:LdHU3.17.2030(CDS-product:hypothetical_prote in_conserved)". The record is from RNAcentral. Lineage: Eukaryota; Euglenozoa; Kinetoplastea; Trypanosomatida; Trypanosomatidae.
AAGUGUGCGCCAGAGCGCAGCGUCGCCGGCCAUUUCUCUUCACCCCCCCCCUCUUCCCCACUCCACUACGCCGCGAGUCUCUCUCGGACUUGUGCCCUAUGUCCGUUCAGGCCUUCUUCGAGUUCUCCAGUAGUAUUCUGAGCCCCAAGUAUGUAGGACUGUCACCGUUCCACGCGCCCAAAGAGUCGCGGCUUGACACGAGCCCGCCUGGGGUUCUCUCCUCCAUGUGCGAGUACACAAUAUGCACGAAGCGCGCACUCAACACGCGCAUCAUCGGAUUUGCUGAGCCGACGCUGCAGCAGUGCGUCGAGGAGCUCGCACGUGCUUUGAAGGCCACCGCCUUUAUACAAGACAAGGACGCGACGUCGGCGUUGCUGCGGCAGAGGCGGGGCACAGUCGACCCGUCGCAGCUGCCGUGGUCGCCAAGACCCGAGUAUCUCGCAUGGCUGCGAGCCCAGGGCCGCCUUGACGAGACCAUGCUGUUAUGACCGUGAGCGACGCAGGAGGCCGCAUCACUCCGAGUGCGCUCCAUUCUGUCCUCUCUCGUACGCGCUUCUAUCGGAACGCGUGGGCGUGCGUACGUGUCUCUGCAACUCGCGCGAAAAUGAGGGGGCGAUCGGUCUUACCCUGCAUCCGCUUUUUCUUUUGGUCCGCCUCCACUCCAGUGCACUCGCCUGCUUCCCUUGUCCCUCUCGCACGUGGGUCGUUGUUGCUGUGGAGGGACGGGCCUCGAAGGACGGGUAGCGUGCCCUCUCCCUCUUCUUUUCCUUGCCUCUCUACGUUGCUCAUGACCCUUCAUCAACUGAAGGUUGCGGUGGAGGACGAGCAGCGAAGGAAUCACAUCAGCACGUUUUGCGCGCACGCUAAAGCAAGCAAUAUCAAGGAAAGGAACACCAUGAUGCGAUGGGCGCGAGACACGGUUGUUUUGGACGUGUACCUAUGCUGCGUGCUCCUGGGCCGCUCCGCUACUGUCCCCUCUUGCCCAGCCCUCCAGGGCAGCAGUUUGGGAAGAGGGCAGAGCAUACGGAGAAUACCAUGCGCGUUUGUAUGCCUCCCUGUCUCGGAUU